Non-coding RNA from Pelobates cultripes (western spadefoot toad), 318 nucleotides. The record is from the annotation of a GenBank genome assembly. Lineage: Eukaryota; Metazoa; Chordata; Amphibia; Anura; Pelobatidae.
AAAGGAAAGAAAACAGGUCAUGAAAACACAUAUUGAUAUCCUUAUAACAUAACCCAUAAAACAGUUAUCCCAACUUAGUGGAGGAUGUCCCUCCGUGAUCCUUAUACCUGUCGGAUCUGAUAUCCCGGACUUAUCUCUCGCCAGGUCGAUCGGGGGUGGCCACCCGCCGCGUCAAGAAGUGUCUCAAACGGGGCGGGUGUACAGCCCCAGAGCACCCCCGCGAGGCUCUAUGCUUGUGUCUAACUUGUCGUGGGUGUUUACGACAUAGGGUGUGACGAUCACCGGCUCCUGUGAGUCUGUCUGCUGAUCUGUAUAGGU